Molecule: ribosomal RNA, 450 nt
Filed under: Daphnia magna
Lineage: Eukaryota; Metazoa; Arthropoda; Branchiopoda; Diplostraca; Daphniidae
Description: partial 16S ribosomal RNA
Rfam family: Bacterial large subunit ribosomal RNA
Source: RNAcentral
CAGUAUUCUGACUGUGCUAAGGUAGCAUAAUCAUUAGUCUUUUAAUUGGAGGCUGGUAUGAAUGACGAGACGAGAAAAUAGCUGUCUCUAUAAUAAACUUUGAAUUUCAUUUCUGAGUGAAAAAGCUCAGAUAAUUUUGAAGGACGAUCAGACCCUUUGGAGCUUUAUUUACUUCAAAAAUUUGAAUUUGUUUUAAUUGAUUGAAUGGAAAGUAAAUUUUGUUGGGGCGACAGGGAGUAAAAUAUAACACUCUUUUUUUAAAACAAUCCUAAUUGGAAAAUUGAUCCUUAAAGUGAGAUUAUAAGACUAAGUUACCCUAGGGAUAACAGCGUAAUCUUUUUGGAGAGUUCAAAUCGAUAAAAAGGUUUGCGACCUCGAUGUUGGAUUAAGAGAUUGGCAAGGUGCAGAAGUUUUGCUGGAAAGUCUGUUCGACUUUUAAUCUCUUACAUG